Diospyros lotus (date-plum) is the source of this 1018-nucleotide long non-coding RNA. RefSeq lists it as uncharacterized. Lineage: Eukaryota; Viridiplantae; Streptophyta; Magnoliopsida; Ericales; Ebenaceae. The transcript has 2 exons. The record is from RefSeq and is a predicted model, not a curated record.
UUUGGAGAAAUAUGCUGUACUUCCUACUUUGUCUUCAAUACGCAGCGAUGAUUUGUGGUUCAAACUGGCAACUCAGUUUUCAUGCAUAUUGUUACCAGAGGAAAACUUGGAGGAGUACUAUCAUGUCAAUCUGGAUCUCUUAUUCUCCCUGCCUUUUUUGUCUUCCUAGUGUGGUAUAGUACAGAGUUGGGGUUUAGUCAAGUUGUUUGGGUUUUGACGAAAUCAUUCUCUUGCAUGGUGAUAAAAGGACUUGUUUUGAAGCUAGCAUAAUUUCUUUGGUUCAUUUUGGAGUAUCUUCUGUCAAAAUCAGGGCAUGUAUUACAUAACAGCUAGCAUGCUUUCAUGUUGUGACUCAUUUGUACCAUUUGAGGGAUUCUAUGGUUUCUUUGGUAGGAGGAUAGGCUGGCACAAUGAAGAGUAGGGGAAAAAAGUAGGGUAAUAUGGUUUCCAUUGUUUUAGUAGGAAGGAAAAAUGAAUUGAAAGAAAGAGUAAGGAAAAAUGAAUUGCAAGAAAGAGUAAGGUUGCAAGGACUUCUUCUAAGCCAACGAAGUUGUAUCCCUUAAAAGAUGGAUGGGGACAAAGGAGGGAGGUGUGGUGAAAUCGAACCGCGUUAAAUUUGCGGCGUGGUCAGAGUCCGACACAAAGAUUGAAGUAGUUUAAACUGAACAGUAGUUUACAAAUCAUCAACUGGGCAAAAACAUAAAACGUCUUCCCCGAUUCAGAAGUUUAUGAACCAUCAUCAACUGGGCAGAAACAUAAAACGUCCUCCCACAAGCUCUCUUGAGUAUUGAAAGAAACAAUGCACAAAUCUCCAGUUAUGCUUCGUAUGGGUACAAAAAUGUACAUAUCGUGGAGUAUAGAGAAUGUACAUCACAAUCUGUAUAACUGGUGCAGAUUGAGAGAGCUUUAAUUUUGGCCCCUCCUGCCUGCACACUUCUCACAUCUUCUAGUCUAUCAAAUCACACUGUUACUUUCUACUUGCUUCUGAGUCUCAGAUUCAGAAUUGUUCAUCUAGCAU